This 248-nucleotide unclassified non-coding RNA is filed under the name Glomeraceae sp. Its description in RNAcentral is "partial internal transcribed spacer 2". The stretch from base 1 to 71 matches the Rfam family "5.8S ribosomal RNA", at positions 84 to 154 of the family's 154-position model. The record is from RNAcentral. Lineage: Eukaryota; Fungi; Glomeromycota; Glomeromycetes; Glomerales; Glomeraceae.
GUGAAUCAUCAAAUUUUUGAACGCAAAUUGCGCUUACUGGCAACCCGGGAAGUAUGCCUGUUUGAGGGUAAGUAUUAACAAAAAAUCGGUUUGGUUGCAAAUUGUGACGUUUCCGGAGUUUGGGCGAUCUUAACUUGUGUGGUUAAGGGGCUUAAAAUUGACCUUUUUUGCGAAUUUUUAGACGUACAUAAAUUUUUUUUUUAUUCGUCUAUUGUUAAUGAAAAAAUAAUAUUAGAUGAGAUGACAGA